AACGUAGGUGGCGAGCGUUAUCCGGAUUUACUGGGCGUAAAGGGCGUGCAGGCGGUUUGUUAAGUCUAGGGUGAAAGCUCCCGGCUCAACUGGGAGAGGUCCUUGGAUACUGGCAGACUUGAGGAGGGUAGAGGAGAGUGGAAUUCCCGGUGUAGUGGUGAUAUGCGUAGAUAUCGGGAGGAACACCAGUGGCGAAGGCGGCUCUCUGGGCCCUACCUGACGCUGAGACGCGAAAGCGUGGGGAGCGAACCGG
Molecule: ribosomal RNA, 253 nt
Filed under: uncultured bacterium
Lineage: Bacteria
Description: partial 16S ribosomal RNA
Rfam family: Bacterial small subunit ribosomal RNA
Source: RNAcentral